Molecule: ribosomal RNA, 489 nt
Filed under: uncultured bacterium
Lineage: Bacteria
Description: partial 16S ribosomal RNA
Rfam family: Bacterial small subunit ribosomal RNA
Source: RNAcentral
AUUGAACGCUGGCGGCAGGCCUAACACAUGCAAGUCGAACGGUAACAGGAAGAAGCUUGCUUCUUUGCUGACGAGUGGCGGACGGGUGAGUAAUGUCUGGGAAACUGCCUGAUGGAGGGGGAUAACUACUGGAAACGGUAGCUAAUACCGCAUAACGUCGCAAGACCAAAAAGGGGGACCUUCGGGCCUCUUGCCAUCGGAUGUGCCCAGAUGGGAUUAGCUAGUAGGUGGGGUAACGGCUCACCUAGGCGACGAUCCCUAGCUGGUCUGAGAGGAUGACCAGCCACACGGGAACUGAGACACGGCCCAGACUCCUACGGGAGGCAGCAGUGGGAAAUAUUGCACAAUGGGAGCAAGCCUGAUGCAGCCAUGCCGCGGGUAUGAAGAAGGCCUUCGGGUUGUAAAGUACUUUCAGCGGGGAGGAAGGGAGUAAAGUUAAUACCUUUGCUCAUUGACGUUACCCGCAGAAGAAGCACCGGCAAACUCCGU